This 896-nucleotide ribosomal RNA is filed under the name uncultured archaeon. RNAcentral describes it as "bacterial SSU rRNA". It matches the Rfam family "Archaeal small subunit ribosomal RNA", at positions 21 to 903 of the family's 1478-position model. The record is from RNAcentral.
CCCGACUGCUAUUUGGGUGAGAAUAAGCCAUGCAAGUCGAAUGGGAUACCUAAAUUUCCCAUGGCAAACUGCUCAGUAACACAUGAUCAACUUACCCUAUAGAGAAAAAUAACCUCGGGAAACUGAGGAUAAUUUUUCGUAGUUGAAUAGGCUUGGAAAAGUUAUUCAAUAAAAAGGAUAAGAAAAAUGGUUUUUAUCUGCUAUAGGAUAGGAUCGUGGACGAUUAUGGUUGUUGGUGAGGUAACGGCUCACCAAGCCGAUAAUCGUUAGGGGCCGUGAGAGCGGGAGCCCCGAGAUGGGUACUGAGACAACGACCCAGGCCUUACGAGGCGCAGCAGGCGCGGAACCUCCGCAAUACACGAAAGUGUGACGGGGUUACCCAAAGUGUUCAAUUCUGAACUGUGGUAGGUGAGUAAUGUCCCCUACUAGAAAGGAGAGGGCAAGGCUGGUGCCAGCCGCCGCGGUAAAACCAGCUCUUCAAGUGGUCGGGAUAAUUAUUGGGCUUAAAGUGUCCGUAGCCGGUUUAGUAAGUUCCUGGUAAAAUCGGGUAGCUUAACUAUCUGUAUGCUAGGAAUACUGCUAUACUAGAGGGCGGGAGAGGUCUGAGGUACUACAGGGGUAGGGGUGAAAUCUUAUAAUCCUUGUAGGACCACCAGUGGCGAAGGCGUCAGACUGGAACGUGCCUGACGGUGAGGGACGAAAGCCAGGGGAGCAAACCGGAUUAGAUACCCGGGUAGUCCUGGCCGUAAACGAUGCAUACUAGGUGAUGGCACGGCCAUGAGCCGUGUCAGUGCCGUAGGGAAACCGUUAAGUGUGCCGCCUGGGAAGUACGGUCGCAAGACUAAAACUUAAAGGAAUUGGCGGGGGAGCACCACAAGGGGUGAAGCCUGCGGUUC